RNAcentral lists this long non-coding RNA (1167 nucleotides) under Oryctolagus cuniculus (rabbit). RNAcentral describes it as "lncRNA (ENSOCUG00000033544.1)". The record is from RNAcentral. Lineage: Eukaryota; Metazoa; Chordata; Mammalia; Lagomorpha; Leporidae.
AUUUUAUAAUUCUAAAUUCAUAUAUUUAUAGUAGAUAAUAUAUAAUAUGUAUAUUUUGCAUUUUUGUUAGCAUCUUGUGAAUAAUUACUCCAAUAUUCAGAGAAAGAUUUGAGGAUAAUAAACUAAAUGUAACCUUUUAAAUGAAUCCUAAACAUUUGGCAACCUAGUUCUCAUUGAUAUAAUUAAAUAUUUUAAUCCAAUCCAAAAGUUGUAGAAUUCAAACAGAGUACAUGGAUCUUAAAAGUAAUAAAUAGUUAAGAAAUUCAUGAGGAAUCAUCUUUCAUAAAAAUGUAUUGGUAUUUCUUAAUUAUUUGAAGUUAACAUCUUUUGUUGCUUUUUUUUUUUUUAAACUUUUAUUUAAUGCAUAUAAAUUUCCAAAGUACGACUCAUGGGUUACAAUGGCUUCCCCCCAAUACCGUCCCUCCCACCCACAACCCUCCCCUUUCCCACUCCCUCUCCCCUUUUUAAUCAGUAACUGUGGUGGAACAGAUGUUUUGCCUAGCAGUUCAAACAGUGAGUAAGGGAACAGUGUCCCAUACCACAGUGCCUGGAUUCUUCAUCUGCUUCCAUCUCUUGACUCCAGAUUUCGGAUUUACUGCAGGCCCUGGGAAGAAGAUACGAUGGCUUAAAUCAUCACCUUCAUCUCCCAGCAUUUCCCUUUUGAUGACCAAAAUGGAAUUUAUAUAUGAUGAAAACACCGUGAGUAAUCAAGGUUAACAUUUACUACUCUUUUCUUCUCUUGUCUGAUAUCCCAAGGACAUAAUUGGCCUCACAGUCAUCCAUGGCCAUGGGUAACCACCCAGAGUCUAAGGCAAAAUUUCUUGAUAAAUCCUGUGAUAAUAUUAGAAUUAGGGCUCAUGCUUUCCCAACUAUGAAUGUUGAUGUAGCAGUUCCCCCCAUGAAAUACAGUGGAAAUUGACUGGUAUGGACUCUAGCCCCAAAUAGCCUCUCUAUCAACUGCAGCAGAUGAGGCCCCUUGACAGCAAAGCUGAACUGGCUAUAAUGGAUAGGAAUUAAGGUUCUGGGACAUGUUUCUCCAUGCACAUUUUAAGAGCCUUCUGGUUCAAGGACAGAGAACAUGUUCCUUGAGUCUAGCUUCAGGCCUUGUUUUGUCUAUGUAUGAUACACUGCCCUAGAAUAAAUUAGCAUCUGCUACUGCUUCUGUCA